AGUGGCGGACGGGUGAGUAUCGCGUAGGGAUCUGUCCUUGGGUGGGGGAUAACCGUGGGAAACUGCGGCUAAUACCGCAUGAUACCUUUGGGUCAAAGGCGCCGAUGGAAGUCGGGGGUUGCCUGGGGAGGAGCCUGCGUCCGAUUAGCUUGUUGGUGGGGUAAAGGCUUACCAAGGCUACGAUCGGUAGCUGGUCUGAGAGGAUGAUCAGCCACACUGGGACUGAGACACGGCCCAGACUCCUACGGGAGGCAGCAGUGGGGAAUAUUGGACAAUGGGCGAAAGCCUGAUCCAGCAAUGCCGCGUGGGUGAAGAAGGUCUUCGGAUUGUGAAGCCCUUUCGGCGGGGACGAUGAUGACGGUACCCGCAGAAGAAGCCCCGGCUAACUUCGUGCCAGCAGCCGCGGUAAUACGAAGGGGGCUAGCGUUGCUCGGAAUGACUGGGCGUAAAGGGCGCGUAGGCGGGUUGCACAGUCGGGCGUGAAAUUCCUGGGCUUAACCUGGGGGCUGCGUUCGAGACGUGUGGCCUAGAGUGGGGAAGAGGGUCGUGGAAUUCCCAGUGUAGAGGUGAAAUUCGUAGAUAUUGGGAAGAACACCGGUGGCGAAGGCGGCGACCUGGUCCUUGACUGACGCUGAGGCGCGAAAGCGUGGGGAGCAAAC
This 659-nucleotide ribosomal RNA is filed under the name uncultured Acetobacteraceae bacterium. RNAcentral describes it as "bacterial SSU rRNA". It matches the Rfam family "Bacterial small subunit ribosomal RNA", at positions 94 to 773 of the family's 1533-position model. Lineage: Bacteria; Pseudomonadati; Pseudomonadota; Alphaproteobacteria; Acetobacterales; Acetobacteraceae. The record is from RNAcentral.